CCCCUGGUGGCUCAGACGAUAAAGAAUCCGCCUGCAAUGCAGGAGACCCAGGUUCGAUCCCUGGCUUUGGGA
Bos taurus (domestic cattle) is the source of this 72-nucleotide non-coding RNA. The record is from Rfam. Lineage: Eukaryota; Metazoa; Chordata; Mammalia; Artiodactyla; Bovidae.